Molecule: long non-coding RNA, 1042 nt
Organism: Mauremys mutica (yellowpond turtle)
Lineage: Eukaryota; Metazoa; Chordata; Testudines; Geoemydidae
Exons: 3
Source: RefSeq, a predicted model, not a curated record
CCCCCCUCGCAGGGUGAUGCCGGAGACCCCCCGAGCUCUGCACUAGCAUCAUGGAGAGCAGAGCCGAGGGCGGCCUGGGAGGCUGCAGGGGUUCCAGCGCUGCGGGGUGGAAGUGCCUCGGUUACAAGCGGCGGGCACCCCCGGUCAAGCGCGCUCCUCAGGGGAGCCGGACAGCGGCCUCUAUUGAGUCUGGCGUGCGGUCCGGGCCUGGGUCUCCUCAGCGCCAUCUACUGGACGGAGCCCUCCGUCUGAUGGACAGCGCGAUCAGCCAAUUAGGGCGCCCUCCCGCGUUCGUAGCCCGUGGCAGCGAACGGUUGUGAGGCCGCCCCCCCCCCCAGAACGCGCCCCUCGGUGGGGUGGUUGAGCGGGCUGGGCUCGGCCCCCAGCUGCGUGCGGCGGGGCAGCGGAAGGCUGGCUGGGGAGUAACCGUGAAAACUUCCACGGGCACGUUUGAAGGCUCCAGCCUCUCGGAUACGCACACCCGCGGCAGGCCGCGCAUCGCUUCUUCUCCGGUGCAGGCUCUUCCCAGGCGCCCCGUCAACCCCCGCCCCCCGUUGAGUUUGUUUGCCCCCAGCCCUGUCUGUGAGGAACUGCUGCAGCGAUGAACGCCGACGGGUUUCACAAACACUCCUGAAGGCUUUCCAGUAUGCUUUGCCACUAGAAAAUUCAUGACAAUAUCAUCACAGUUUUGAGUUUCAUCUAUCAAAGCAUGAACAGCAUCAGGCUGCUUUUGAAAGAGUUCUAGGUAUCCACUGUGAAUGAAUGCUGCUCCUAUGAGAACCAUGGAGUACUGGUCCCCAUUUCCAAAUCCAGGUGUCUGCAAUUCAAAGCUGCCAUAACUGUAUAUACCUGAAGAAGUGGAAACAUGCUUUCUAGGAACAAAUCCCACUAUCUGAUCUGGAAAUUGCUGGAAGAUCUGGAGUCUGUUCCUCAUGCGAUUCACAGUCUGCACUUUGAAGACAACAGGUACAGGAUGGGGUCCCAGGGAAUUCCACAUUUCCUCUGGUAUCUUCUCCCCAACAUUGUUCCACACAACAACCAC